GCUUGCACCUGAGUGACGAUGGAUUACCAGUGAGUGGCGGACGGGUGAGUAACACGUAGGUAACCUGCCCCGGAGCGGGGGAUAACAUUUGGAAACAGAUGCUAAUACCGCAUAACAACAAAAGCCACAUGGCUUUUGUUUGAAAGAUGGCUUUGGCUAUCACUCUGGGAUGGACCUGCGGUGCAUUAGCUAGUUGGUAAGGUAACGGCUUACCAAGGCGAUGAUGCAUAGCCGAGUUGAGAGACUGAUCGGCCACAAUGGAACUGAGACACGGUCCAUACUCCUACGGGAGGCAGCAGUAGGGAAUCUUCCACAAUGGGCGCAAGCCUGAUGGAGCAACACCGCGUGAGUGAAGAAGGGUUUCGGCUCGUAAAGCUCUGUUGUUGGAGAAGAACGUGCGUGAGAGUAACUGUUCACGCAGUGACGGUAUCCAACCAGAAAGUCACGGCUAACUACGUGCCAGCAGCCGCGGUAAUACGUAGGUGGCAAGCGUUAUCCGGAUUUAUUGGGCGUAAAGCGAGCGCAGGCGGUUGCUUAGGUCUGAUGUGAAAGCCUUCGGCUUAACCGAAGAAGUGCAUCGGAAACCGGGCGACUUGAGUGCAGAAGAGGACAGUGGAACUCCAUGUGUAGCGGUGGAAUGCGUAGAUAUAUGGAAGAACACCAGUGGCGAAGGCGGCUGUCUGGUCUGCAACUGACGCUGAGGCUCGAAAGCAUGGGUAGCGAACAGGAUUAGAUACCCUGGUAGUCCAUGCCGUAAACGAUGAGUGCUAGGUGUUGGAGGGUUUCCGCCCUUCAGUGCCGGAGCUAACGCAUUAAGCACUCCGCCUGGGGAGUACGACCGCAAGGUUGAAACUCAAAGGAAUUGACGGGGG
RNAcentral lists this ribosomal RNA (872 nucleotides) under uncultured bacterium. RNAcentral's name for it is "bacterial SSU rRNA". It matches the Rfam family "Bacterial small subunit ribosomal RNA", at positions 53 to 919 of the family's 1533-position model. The record is from RNAcentral.